This 490-nucleotide ribosomal RNA is filed under the name uncultured bacterium. Its description in RNAcentral is "partial 16S ribosomal RNA". It matches the Rfam family "Bacterial small subunit ribosomal RNA", at positions 30 to 507 of the family's 1533-position model. The record is from RNAcentral.
AUUGAACGCUGGCGGCAGGCCUAACACAUGCAAGUCGAACGGUAACAGGAAGAAGCUUGCUUCUUUGCUGACGAGUGGCGGACGGGUGAGUAAUGUCUGGGAAACUGCCUGGUGUAGGGGGAUAACUACUGGAAACGGUAGCUAAUACCGCAUAACGUCGCAAGACCAAAGAGGGGGACCUUCGGGCCUCUUGCCAUCGGAUGUGCCCAGAUGGGAUUAGCUAGUAGGUGGGGUAACGGCUCACCUAGGCGACGAUCCCUAGCUGGUCUGAGAGGAUGACCAGCCACACUGGAACUGAGACACGGUCCAGACUCCUACGGGAGGCAGCAGUGGGGAAUAUUGCACAAUGGGCGCAAGCCUGAUGCAGCCAUGCCGCGUGUAUGAAGAAGGCCUUCGGGUUGUAAAGUACUUUCAGCGGGGAGGAAGGGAGUAAAGUUAAUACCUUUGCGCAUUGACGUUACCCGAAGAAGAAGCACCGGCUAACUCCGUG